GUUCUAAGCAGGUUGUUUGUGGAUUGGCUGCCUAGAGGACGUUCCUGUAGACGUCUAAGUGAGACGCCUGGUGACACAGACGUGAGAAUACAAUGGAAGCUCACGAGAUGAGCGUGGCUUGAAUGGGCUUAUGAAUGCAGAUUUGGGGGGCUAUGUUACCUAUCUUUAUGUGCAAGGAGUACUUGAUAAACCAUGAGGAGUCCAUGAUGGUGCGUCUGAAUAUGACAUGUAAGUAGAAGGCUCGAAAGAAUAGAGUGCUGGCCAUGACAUCACAACUCAAUUCACUGACACACUUCUCCGAUAUCAGUGCACUUACAGGUGGAGAAGGCAGGGCAGAGGAUAUGGUCCCUUCUGUGAAGAAAUCAAGGAAAGGUCCCAAAAAAAGCAAAAAGAAGAAAGGAUACUGAGUCAUUAUCACAGCGAAACCAGACUUGCAGCGGAUUUUUUUUUUUUGAAUGGAUGAAGUUGAAUGGAUAUUUUGAUGGCAGUUUUUUACAGUGAGACUAGGCAUUCUAUCUAUAACUAAUCUUAUAUUGCAUCAGUGCACUGCGUGAGCCAAAAUUAACUGUUCACUUAUCUUACAAUAGGGGCACAUAAACUUUUUCUAGUGAACCUGCUUAUUUAAUGCAGAAAAUUGCAUAUAUGCAUAAUUAAUAAUGGUAGCUUCAUGCUGCUUGAUUAUAUUGUCACUAAAUUAUAUAUUGUCGAUAGAAAACUUGCAUAUAAAAAAGUUAACUUUUAGUAUGAUGUAGAGAGGGAUAUUCUGAGUUAAUUUGCAAUUGAGUUUCAUUUUUAAUUAUUUGUGGUUUUUGAGUUGCUUAGCAUUGGUCAUUCUAUAACAUACCAAAAGUUAACUUAAAGGUGAACCACCCCUUUAAGUGUACAUAAGGAGGGUUAAGGAAAAAUAACUAAAAAGAAAAUUGUCCCUUCCAUUUUAAUUUGGGCUUAAAACAGUAGCUCACCUUCACAAAAAGUUAUCGUUGACUAUUUUCAUGACAUUUUAAAAGUGAAUUUAUUUCCCCUAAA
Molecule: long non-coding RNA, 1026 nt
Organism: Xenopus laevis (African clawed frog)
Lineage: Eukaryota; Metazoa; Chordata; Amphibia; Anura; Pipidae
Exons: 4
Source: RefSeq, a predicted model, not a curated record